Molecule: ribosomal RNA, 564 nt
Filed under: uncultured bacterium
Lineage: Bacteria
Description: bacterial SSU rRNA
Rfam family: Bacterial small subunit ribosomal RNA
Source: RNAcentral
CCUACGGGAGGCAGCAGUGGGGAAUCUUGUGCAAUGGACGAAAGUCUGACACAGCCACGCCGCGUGCGGGAAGAAGGCCUUCGGGUUGUAAACCGCUUUCAGCAGGAACGAAAAUGACGGUACCUGCAGAAGAAGAUGCGGCCAACUACGUGCCAGCAGCCGCGGUGAUACGUAGGCAUCAAGCGUUGUCCGGAUUUAUUGGGCGUAAAGAGCUCGUAGGCGGUUCAGCAAGUCGGGUGUGAAAACUCUGGGCUUAACCCAGAGCCUGCACUCGAAACUGCUGUGACUAGAGUUCGGUAGGGGAGCAGGGAAUUCCUAGUGUAGCGGUGAAAUGCGCAGAUAUUAGGAGGAACACCAAUGGCGAAGGCACUGCUCUGGGCCGAUACUGACGCUGAGGAGCGAGAGCGUGGGUAGCAAACAGGAUUAGAUACCCUGGUAGUCCACGCCGUAAACGAUGGGCACUAGGUGUGGGUCUCUAACCAACGAGAUCUGCGCCGUCGCUAACGCAUUAAGUGCCCCGCCUGGGGAGUACGGUCGCAAGACAAAACUCAAAGGAAUUGACGG